Non-coding RNA from Stomoxys calcitrans (stable fly), 130 nucleotides. The record is from Rfam. NCBI's taxonomy places the organism in Eukaryota, Metazoa, Arthropoda, Insecta, Diptera, Muscidae.
GUCAGGAUGGCCGAGCGGUCUAAGGCGCCAGACUCAAGUGUAACAACUUGUUCUGUUAAAACAGAAUUAGUAGAAAGUAUGAGCGUUCUGGUCCUCUCUGAGGGCGUGGGUUCAAAUCCCACUUCUGACA